Molecule: ribosomal RNA, 497 nt
Filed under: uncultured bacterium
Lineage: Bacteria
Description: partial 16S ribosomal RNA
Rfam family: Bacterial small subunit ribosomal RNA
Source: RNAcentral
GAUGAACGCUGGCGGCGUGCCUAAUACAUGCAAGUCGAACGCAUAGCGAAAGGUGCUUGCACCUUUCAAGUGAGUGGCGAACGGGUGAGUAACACGUGGACAACCUGCCUCAAGGCUGGGGAUAACAUUUGGAAACAGAUGCUAAUACCGAAUAAAACUUAGUGUCGCAUGACACAAAGUUAAAAGGCGCUUCGGCGUCACCUAGAGAUGGAUCCGCGGUGCAUUAGUUAGUUGGUGGGGUAAAGGCCUACCAAGACAAUGAUGCAUAGCCGAGUUGAGAGACUGAUCGGCCACAUUGGGACUGAGACACGGCCCAAACUCCUACGGGAGGCUGCAGUAGGGAAUCUUCCACAGAGGGCGAAAGCCUGAUGGAGCAACGCCGCGUGUGUGAUGAAGGCUUUCGGGUCGUAAAGCACUGUUGUAUGGGAAGAACAGCUAGAAUAGGAAAUGAUUUUAGUUUGACGGUACCAUACCAGAAAGGGACGGCUAAAUACGUG